Molecule: long non-coding RNA, 657 nt
Filed under: Salmo salar (Atlantic salmon)
Lineage: Eukaryota; Metazoa; Chordata; Actinopteri; Salmoniformes; Salmonidae
Description: lncRNA (ENSSSAG00000084912.1, ENSSSAG00000121913.1)
Source: RNAcentral
UGAACAGGGUGUAGGGUUGAGGGGUCUGAGCAGGGUGUAGGGUUAGGGGGUCUGAGCAGCAUGCCAGAGCACACACACACUGUCUGAGCCCCCCUACCUUCCUCCAUCUCUUCCUCCUCCUCACCCUCAUCCUCCUCCUCUUCCUCCUCCUCAUCCUCAGGGGCGCUACACUCCGUCCGUGCAUCGUCCUCUUCUUCCGGCUCUUCCUCCUCUUCCUCCUCCCCCUCUUCCUCAGGCUCGGCGUCUGAGUAGGGUUCGUCGGCAGGCAGUGAGCUGCGCUCAGGUGAGACGGGCUCCAGGUAGUCCUCCCCUCUUUCAGUCGGCUCCGCCUUGGCCACUCCAACUGAGACAGUCACCAUGGACACCACAGUCGGUUAUCACGGCAACCAAAGAUGGCAUCAGGUAUACACGGAUACAAGCUGGCACAAAUACAUGGAAACGUUUCUUUUGGCAAGGUUAGCUAGUUGAAUAUACAGUAUGAAAUCUGUCCCUGUGAGAUGAACAUAGAGACGCAGAGAAGUGUGUGUGUGUGUUACCGGUCACUGGGACCGGCUCCUCAUCAUCAUCAUCUGGUGGGGGCGGUCCAGGAGGGGUGCGGGGGCCUCUGGGUGCUGGUCUGGGAGGACUGCCAUUAUGCUGCUCCUCCUUAUCCCACUC